Molecule: small RNA, 841 nt
Filed under: Arabidopsis thaliana (thale cress)
Lineage: Eukaryota; Viridiplantae; Streptophyta; Magnoliopsida; Brassicales; Brassicaceae
Description: ATSL054980
Source: RNAcentral
AAUAUCACAAAUGGAAUCCUCAUGCACAUUGAUUGGUAUCUUAAACCUUGAAUGUGCAGUUCUGCCACCUGGUAGGAGUAGAGCUGCAAUAGCUGAUGAUGCGACGGGCAUGACAUUUUUUCCAUUUGAUCUAAGAGCAGAGAUAAUAGUCUUGUACAAAAAUGUUUUGCCUGUGCCUCCAGCUCCAUAUAGAAAGAAUAACUUGCCUUCUUUAUUUAUCACUGAUUUGAGAACAUCAUCGUAAAUUAUCCGUUGCUGCUCGUUCAGCUUGCUGAAUAAAUUUGCAUGUGUUUCUCUUGCCGAAGUAAGGAGUUGUUUAGUUCUUCCAAUAUUGACUUUUCUGGCUGAGGCAUUUCUGGAUAAUCUGACAAUGACUUUUCAUGCUGGCGUAAGAGUGUUUCAAUCUCGAUCAAUGUGUAUUUCUCUAGUUCUUCUGCUUUCAGUUCUAGUUGAGGGAAAUUCAGAACUUUUUGCUGCUUACGGAAGACAUCAUCUGCCAUGCUCUCCCAACAGUGACUCCACAGUUUUAGUGGUUCAGAGACCUCACAGUAUAUCAAGAUCAAGACAAAUAAGCUUCUAAGUAAGUAUGAUGUUGACCAUUGUGCUGCUUCAUCCAUUGCAUCAUGCCAUUCUUUGUCUCCAUCUAGCAACCCUCUUGUGUGACAUGCUGCUUUAAAACUUUCAUGUACCACACCUCCUACAGUUUUCAAAUAAUCGAAACUUGUUGCACCCUUCACUUUGUUAAGCAAGAUUCUAAGAUAAUACAAAUCCCCUGCCGUUGGGAGUAUGUUUACAAUCCUUCCAAUGUUUUCUCUCUGCUUUCUUCGAGUGUACAUUUUAU